This 253-nucleotide ribosomal RNA is filed under the name uncultured bacterium. RNAcentral's name for it is "partial 16S ribosomal RNA". It matches the Rfam family "Bacterial small subunit ribosomal RNA", at positions 524 to 776 of the family's 1533-position model. The record is from RNAcentral.
UACGUAGGGGGCCAGCGUUGCUCGGAAUAACUGGGCGUAAAGGGUCUGUAGGCGGUGUGGCAAGUCGGGAGUGAAAUCUCUGGGCUUAACCCAGAGACUGCUUCCGAAACUGCCAUGCUAGAGUGCGAGAGAGGUGAGUGGAAUUGCAGGUGUAGCGGUGAAAUGCGUAGAUAUCUGCAGGAACACCAGAGGCGAAGGCGGCUCACUGGAUCGCAACUGACGCUGAGAGACGAAAGCUAGGGGAGCAAACAGG